Molecule: ribosomal RNA, 310 nt
Filed under: Escherichia coli
Lineage: Bacteria; Pseudomonadati; Pseudomonadota; Gammaproteobacteria; Enterobacterales; Enterobacteriaceae
Description: bacterial SSU rRNA
Rfam family: Bacterial small subunit ribosomal RNA
Source: RNAcentral
AAAUUGAAGAGUUUGAUCAUGGCUCAGAUUGAACGCUGGCGGCAGGCCUAACACAUGCAAGUCGAACGGUAACAGGAAGAAGCUUGCUUCUUUGCUGACGAGUGGCGGACGGGUGAGUAAUGUCUGGGAAACUGCCUGAUGGAGGGGGAUAACUACUGGAAACGGUAGCUAAUACCGCAUAAUGUCGCAAGACCAAAGAGGGGGACCUUCGGGCCUCUUGCCAUCGGAUGUGCCCAGAUGGGAUUAGCUAGUAGGUGGGGUAACGGCUCACCUAGGCGACGAUCCCUAGCUGGUCUGAGAGGAUGACCAG